GACGAACGCUGGCGGCAUGCCUAACACAUGCAAGUCGAACGAGACCUUCGGGUCUAGUGGCGCACGGGUGCGUAACGCGUGGGAACCUGCCCUUAGGUUCGGAAUAACUCCCCGAAAGGGGUGCUAAUACCGGUUAAUGUCUUCGGACCAAAGAUUUAUCGCCUUUGGAUGGGCCCGCGUUGGUUUAGCUAGUUGGUAGGGUAAAAGCCUACCAAGGCCACGAUCCAUAGCUGGUCUGUGAGGAUGAUCAGCCACACUGGGACUGAGACACGGCCCAGACUCCUACGGGAGGCAGCAGUGGGGAAUAUUGGACAAUGGGCGAAAGCCUGAUCCAGCAAUGCCGCGUGAGUGAUGAAGGCCUUAGGGUUGUAAAGCUCUUUUACCCGGGAUGAUAAUGACAGUACCGGGAGAAUAAGCUCCGGCUAACUCCGUG
RNAcentral lists this ribosomal RNA (433 nucleotides) under uncultured bacterium. RNAcentral's name for it is "partial 16S ribosomal RNA". It matches the Rfam family "Bacterial small subunit ribosomal RNA", at positions 28 to 507 of the family's 1533-position model. The record is from RNAcentral.